Molecule: ribosomal RNA, 480 nt
Filed under: Xanthomonas sp. oral taxon 037
Lineage: Bacteria; Pseudomonadati; Pseudomonadota; Gammaproteobacteria; Lysobacterales; Lysobacteraceae
Description: bacterial SSU rRNA
Rfam family: Bacterial small subunit ribosomal RNA
Source: RNAcentral
AGUGAACGCUGGCGGUAGGCCUAACACAUGCAAGUCGAACGGCAGCACAGGAGAGCUUGCUCUCUGGGUGGCGAGUGGCGGACGGGUGAGGAAUGCAUCGGGAUCUACUCUUUCGUGGGGGAUAACGUAGGGAAACUUACGCUAAUACCGCAUACGACCUACGGGUGAAAGCCGGGGACCUUCGGGCCUGGCGCGAAAGAAUGAGCCGAUGCCCGAUUAGCUAGUUGGCGGGGUAAGAGCCCACCAAGGCGACGAUCGGUAGCUGGUCUGAGAGGAUGAUCAGCCACACUGGAACUGAGACACGGUCCAGACUCCUACGGGAGGCAGCAGUGGGGAAUAUUGGACAAUGGGCGCAAGCCUGAUCCAGCCAUACCGCGUGGGUGAAGAAGGCCUUCGGGUUGUAAAGCCCUUUUGUUGGGAAAGAAAAGCAGUCGGUUAAUACCCGAUUGUUUCUGACGGUACCCAAAGAAUAAGCACCGG